UCACUGCGCGUGUGCCCAGUUAUUAGGAAAGAGCUGUGAAAGGCACUGGCCUCCAGGCCAUGCCUUGUCCCCACCUGUUCGCUCCUGCCCUGCCCAGGCAAAGGGCACCUCUACAUUCCUAACACUUUCCUUCCUCACUACGAGCCACUCUCUGGGAUUAUUUUGACUUCUGCAUUUGUUUAUUUAACAUCAAGAACACCAUUUGUUAACCACAAUGGGUAAAAACAACAAUAUUUUGCAUUUGCCUUGGGUUUCUUCCGUGAAGGUUUUACAAACAUUUUGAAAUCAAUUCUCACAGUGAGCUGGGCAGGUCAGUGUCUAAGUUAAUGUCUAUGUAUUGCCACAAAUGGCUGAGGAUGAUGUUCAGGAUUUACAACAGUGCAACUCAGAGAAGUCAGUCAAGACCUGGGGAAGGCAGCAGUUGGAUCAGUACUGGAGCUCAGGAUUACCAGAGUCCCCACCUUAAGUCUACUCUUGGCUUUCUGCAAAGUCCGGUUACAAGGAGUUGCUUGACAAGAAGAAGGGGAUGUGCACACCUACCUGUGCACAAAACAUGUAGGAACACAGACGUUGCUGGGAAAUAAAGGCAAAGAGAGAAAGCAAAAGACUGAGGUGGGGGUGAAGCAGCAGAGACAGCCCCAUCCUGGCAUGCUGUGAAUCUAUGCAAGAAAUCUUACAAGACUUUUGCACAAAGAGAGCAGCAUUUUGUGAUAUCUUGAGAACACAUCGUCAGGCAACAGAGGAACACAACAGAGGCAAUUUGGGCCAAGAGAUCUGCAACCUGGACAGUCUGUCCUUUGAAUUGCCAUGGUCCAUCAAAUUCUGCUGCUCCACCUGACUGCUGUGGGAGAAAUUUUGCCAAUGACGCUUUGUAUGUAAAAAAUGGAAUUUCAGCAAUUAUUAUUUUGGAGCGCUUAAAAAUAAGUUUUGAGCAAAAUACUUAGAAAAUAAUGAAACUCCAAUAAUAUAAAACAAA
Long non-coding RNA from Pezoporus occidentalis (night parrot), 976 nucleotides. RefSeq lists it as uncharacterized. The transcript has 3 exons. The record is from RefSeq and is a predicted model, not a curated record. NCBI's taxonomy places the organism in Eukaryota, Metazoa, Chordata, Aves, Psittaciformes, Psittacidae.